This 403-nucleotide ribosomal RNA is filed under the name uncultured bacterium. RNAcentral's name for it is "bacterial SSU rRNA". It matches the Rfam family "Bacterial small subunit ribosomal RNA", at positions 355 to 755 of the family's 1533-position model. The record is from RNAcentral.
UGAGGAAUAUUGGGCAAUGCCCGCAAGGGUGACCCAGCAACGCCGCGUGGAGGAUGAAUGUCGUAAGAUUGUAAACUCCUGUUAGAGGGGAAGAAUAGUACCGGUUGGACCGGUAUAUGACUGUACCCUCAGAGAAAGCCCCGGCUAACUACGUGCCAGCAGCCGCGGUAAUACGUAGGGUGCAAGCGUUAAUCGGAAUUACUGGGCGUAAAGCGUGCGCAGGCGGUUUUGUAAGACGGAUGUGAAAUCCCCGGGCUUAACCUGGGAACGGCAUUCGGGACUGCAAGGCUAGAGUAUGGCAGAGGGGGGUAGAAUUCCACGUGUAGCAGUGAAAUGCGUAGAGAUGUGGAGGAAUACCGAUGGAGAAGGCAGCCCCCUGGGCCAAUACUGACGCUCAUGCACG